Molecule: long non-coding RNA, 688 nt
Filed under: Mytilus galloprovincialis (Mediterranean mussel)
Lineage: Eukaryota; Metazoa; Mollusca; Bivalvia; Mytilida; Mytilidae
Source: RNAcentral
AAGAAUAAAUAUAAUAACUAGAUUUGUAAUUGCUAGCAAUAACGGAUGGCACCCUUCCCCAAUUGCCAGGUGAGCGGCAGCCAUUUUGAAAAAUCCAAAGUCAAAGAUAACAUUUACACAUGCCAAUAAACAUUUUUGUAAAGUUUCGUCAAUUUUGGAGCAUUUUGAAAUUUUUGAAAUUUUUGAAAUUUCCAUGGUAACGGGUACCAUUUCCAAAAUUCCAAAGAUAGGUGCCACUUUGGGACAUGCCGUGUAACAUAUUCAUUAAGUUGUAGAAGGUUUGAUCAAAUAUUCUUGCAGGAAAUGCAACUUCAAUAGGAUUUCCCAUUGGGCCAAUGUUAAACUUUCGCCCUGUUUCCAUGACAAUGGUGGCCAUUUUGGAAUUUCCUAAUAUUGUCACAACAUCUAGGCAUACCAAGGAACAUUACCAUAAAAUUUCAUCCAGCUAGGUCUUAUAAUGAAAGAUUUAGAAAUUGCAUUUUUUUUCAUAUUUUGUCAGUUUCCAUGACAACGGCAGCCAUCUUGAUGAUGCCAUACCCCGAUUGCACAAUUUCAUUUAGUGGUCUACAUUAUGGUAUAGUUCCAUCAAUAUUGUUCAAGCCAAUUCUGAGAAAUAGCAUGGACAAAAUGUGUGGAAGAAUAAAUAAAAUAAUAAGAAAAAAAGAAACGUAGAAUAACAAUAUGUCAC